GUGUCAGCAGCCGCGGUAAUACGGAGGGUGCGAACGUUGCUCGGAAUUAUUGGGCGUAAAGCGCGCGUAGGCGGUUCGGCAAGUCGGGUGUGAAAGCCCUCGGCUCAACCGAGGAAGUGCAUUCGAAACUACCGAGCUUGAGUACUGAAGAGGAUGACGGAAUUCCCGGUGUAGAGGUGAAAUUCGUAGAGAUCGGGAGGAACACCAGUGGCGAAGGCGGUCAUCUGGGCAGAUACUGACGCUGAGGCGCGAAAGCGUGGGGAGCAAACAGGAUUAGAUACCCCUGUAGUCC
Molecule: ribosomal RNA, 292 nt
Filed under: uncultured bacterium
Lineage: Bacteria
Description: partial 16S ribosomal RNA
Rfam family: Bacterial small subunit ribosomal RNA
Source: RNAcentral